AGUCCAACAGCAUAUAUAAGAAAUCUCAAGCCAGUUUGAGCUUCUUUUUAUUCUAUUGAUUGUAUGAACAUGGUGAGAUGGAACAAUAUGGCAGAAGUGUCGGGAUCUGCUUGUCUCUCUCGCCAUCUGUCUGUUGCUGCAGGAUAGUAUGAGUGGGGUAUGUGAAUAGAGGUGCGCUUUGGAUAUUGGAUAAUAAACAUGUACAUUUCGGUGCCGCUGCUAGCUGAUACCUGACUGUUUUGUGUCGCCGUGUCGGCUCACGACAGUUGACGUUUCUUCUCAUACUUUUUUUUUCUUGUCUUUCUGUGGCACACUCUCAGUCUUAACUCUUUUCUCGGACUCCUCCUCUUUCUGUUCCUUCUCUCGCUACAGCAUGUCACUCCCUUCCUCUUUCUGUGUCUCUGCACCCCCCACCUCCUCCCGUCCUCCCCUCCUUUUUCUCUCCUUCCCUCUUGGCAGCGGUGCCAAAGUGGGCUGGCAGACCGAAGCAAACACAGCACAGGGCAGAGCAGAGGGUGAUCCAAAGGCUGGUGAAUUGAUUAUGUUGGCUGUGUGUGAGCAGACGUCCCUCUGUCACCUCGUGUACGGACAGACGCACUCACGCCAGUAGGAGGGGAUUGUGGGAAGGGGGUGUAGCUCUCAGAGGGUGUGCUCUACUCCUCUCUUUUCCCUUCUUCCCGCCAUCACGGCCCUCUUCUCCUUCAGUCCUCCGGCCCAGCCCGCCGCUCACAUACAGGCUUCAGGAAGGAUACCUUUGUGGAUCUUCGAUGUUGAAGCAACGUGGAUGCUGUCCUUGGAGCUGAGGUAGUAGAUUGAAUAGUUGUGGGGUUUUGUAACCUCUUUUUUAAAUAACUAUACAAUCUACUGUCUUUCCCAAGAGACAGCCGAGUCAGCCACUCGCCGACUGCCAUCUCCAAGCAAAAAUAUGAGCUUUCAGCAGUCUUAUUCUUGUUUUCACGUCGAGCAGGUAAAUAGGUCCAACAUUUUUCGAAAGGCGAACCUGGGGUGUGUUUGACUUGGGCUCUGACAGGGUGAGGUAGUAGGUUGUAUAGUUUGGUGGGUGGGACUGCACCCUGCUCAGGUGAUAACUAUACAGUCUAUUGCCUUCCCUGAGGAGCUCACUGCACACUGAGGAACAUAUGCUCAUGGCUCAAGUAUGAAUUUUAUUGCCAGAUAUAAUAAAAAAGGAGGAGGAAGACACGCAGGACUUACACGAGUAGUGUUGAAUUGACUGAAAAUGUUAACUUAUGUGCUUUUAAAAUAUGUACAUUUUAAUAAAGUCACGUUUGUGUUAAAUAAGUGGUCCAAAAAUCAGUGAAUGGCAACUUGAAAUUAUUUGUCACA
Long non-coding RNA from Oreochromis niloticus (Nile tilapia), 1344 nucleotides. RefSeq lists it as uncharacterized. NCBI's taxonomy places the organism in Eukaryota, Metazoa, Chordata, Actinopteri, Cichliformes, Cichlidae. The record is from RefSeq and is a predicted model, not a curated record. The transcript is spliced from 3 exons.